Molecule: ribosomal RNA, 1484 nt
Filed under: gut metagenome
Description: bacterial LSU rRNA
Rfam family: Bacterial large subunit ribosomal RNA
Source: RNAcentral
UGGUGUGACGGCGUGCCUUUUGCAUAAUGAACCUACGAGUUACUUUUUCCGGCGAGGUUAAGGAUUUCAGAUCUGCAGCCGAAGCGAAAGCGAGUCUGAACAGGGCGUAUAGUCGGAAGGAGUAGACGCGAAACCAAGUGAUCUACCCUUGGGCAGGUUGAAGGAUGGGUAACACCAUCUGGAGGACCGAACCAAUAAGCGUUGAAAAGCUUCUGGAUGACCUGAGGGUGGGGGUGAAAGGCUAAUCAAACUUGGAGAUAGCUCGUACUCCCCGAAAUGCAUUUAGGUGCAGCCUUGACUUAUACUGGCAUGAGGUAGAGCGACUGAUAAGAUGCGAGGGCUUCACCGCCUAUCAAGUCUUGACAAACUCCGAAUGCGUGUCAGUUCUAUGUCAGGAGUGAGGGCAUGGGUGCUAAGGUCCAUGUCCUAAAGGAGAACAAUCCGGACCAACAGCUAAGGUCCCGAAAUGAAUACUAAGUUGAACUAACGAAGUCAGAUUGCUAAGACAGCUAGGAUGUUGGCUUGGAAGCAGCCAUUCAUUUAAAGAGUGCGUAACAGCUCACUAGUCGAGGAGUUUGGCGUGGAUAAUAAUCGGGCAUAAGUAUUCUACCGAAGCUUUGGGAUGAGAAAUCAUCGGUAGGGGAGCAUUCCACUCGGCGUCGAAGGUGAGGCGUGAGCCUUGCUGGAGCGUGUGGAAAAGCAAAUGUAGGUAUAAGUAACGAUAAGGCAGGCGAGAAACCUGCCCGCCGAAAGACUAAGGUUUCCUGAUCAACGCUAAUCGGAUCAGGGUAAGUCGGGUCCUAAGGCUCAGCCGAACGGCGAGGCCGAUGGCAGAACCGGUUAAUAUUCCGGUACUACCUGUGGGAGUGACGUGGAGACGGAGUCGUGACAGCGCCGCGGACUGACGGAAUAGUCCGUUGAAGGGUGUAGAUGCUGAUUGUUCCAGGCAAAUCCGGAGCAAGAGUCGAACCUGACAGUAUGGAGCGUUCUUAGAACAAUCCAAUAGUGCGUGUAAUCAUACUUCCAAGAAAAUCCGCUAAACUUAAUCCUGCAGGUACCCGUACCGCAAACGGACACACGUAGUCGGGUUGAAUAUACUAAGGCGCUUGAGUGAUUCACGGUUAAGGAACUAGGCAAACUGACCCUGUAACUUCGGGAUAAAGGGUCCUCGCUUUACGGCGAGGCGCAGAGAAUAGGUCCAGGCAACUGUUUAACAAAAACACAGGGCUGUGCAAAAUUGAAAGAUGAAGUAUACAGCCUGACACCUGCCCGGUGCUGGAAGGUUAAGAGGAGAUGUCAUCGCAAGAGAAGCAUUGAAUUGAAGCCCCAGUAAACGGCGGCCGUAACUAUAACGGUCCUAAGGUAGCGAAAUUCCUUGUCGGGUAAGUUCCGACCUGCACGAAUGGUGUAAUGAUCUGGACGCUGUCUCAACCGUGAGCUCAGUGAAAUUGUAGUAUCGGUGAAGAUGCCGAUUACCCGCGAUG